This 253-nucleotide ribosomal RNA is filed under the name uncultured bacterium. Its description in RNAcentral is "partial 16S ribosomal RNA". It matches the Rfam family "Bacterial small subunit ribosomal RNA", at positions 524 to 776 of the family's 1533-position model. The record is from RNAcentral.
UACGAAGGGGGCUAGCGUUGCUCGGAAUUACUGGGCGUAAAGGGCGCGUAGGCGGACAGUUAAGUCAGAGGUGAAAGCCCAGGGCUCAACCCUGGAAUUGCCUUUGAUACUGGCUGUCUUGAGUAUGGGAGAGGUGAGUGGAACUCCGAGUGUAGAGGUGAAAUGCGUAGAUAUCAAGUGGAACACCAGUGGCGAAGGCGAGUCUCUGGACAUUUCCUGACGCUGAGGCACGAAAGCCAGGGGAGCAAACGGG